GACAGAGGUGCCAAGCGUUUAGGCGGAAUCACUGGGCUUAAAGCGUGUGUAGGCGGACUUGUAAGUACCUUGUGAAAUCCCACGGCUCAACCGUGGAACUGCUUGGUAUACUGCUUGUCUUGAGCCACUUAGGGGCUACCGGAACAAAUGGUGGAGCGGUGAAAUGCGUAGAUAUCAGGAGGAACACCGGUGGCGAAGGCGCUCAUCUGGCCCAAUACUGACGCUGCAGCGCGAAAGCUAGGGGAGCAAACGGG
This 254-nucleotide ribosomal RNA is filed under the name uncultured bacterium. RNAcentral describes it as "partial 16S ribosomal RNA". It matches the Rfam family "Bacterial small subunit ribosomal RNA", at positions 524 to 776 of the family's 1533-position model. The record is from RNAcentral.